This 713-nucleotide ribosomal RNA is filed under the name uncultured Bacilli bacterium. Its description in RNAcentral is "bacterial SSU rRNA". It matches the Rfam family "Bacterial small subunit ribosomal RNA", at positions 58 to 754 of the family's 1533-position model. The record is from RNAcentral. Lineage: Bacteria; Bacillati; Bacillota; Bacilli.
CAAGUCGAGCGAACAGACGAGGAGCUUGCUCCUCUGACGUUAGCGGCGGACGGGUGAGUAACACGUGGAUAACCUACCUAUAAGACUGGGAUAACUUCGGGAAACCGGAGCUAAUACCGGAUAAUAUAUUGAACCGCAUGGUUCAAUAGUGAAAGACGGUUUUGCUGUCACUUAUAGAUGGAUCCGCGCCGCAUUAGCUAGUUGGUAAGGUAACGGCUUACCAAGGCAACGAUGCGUAGCCGACCUGAGAGGGUGAUCGGCCACACUGGAACUGAGACACGGUCCAGACUCCUACGGGAGGCAGCAGUAGGGAAUCUUCCGCAAUGGGCGAAAGCCUGACGGAGCAACGCCGCGUGAGUGAUGAAGGUCUUCGGAUCGUAAAACUCUGUUAUUAGGGAAGAACAAAUGUGUAAGUAACUAUGCACGUCUUGACGGUACCUAAUCAGAAAGCCACGGCUAACUACGUGCCAGCAGCCGCGGUAAUACGUAGGUGGCAAGCGUUAUCCGGAAUUAUUGGGCGUAAAGCGCGCGUAGGCGGUUUUUUAAGUCUGAUGUGAAAGCCCACGGCUCAACCGUGGAGGGUCAUUGGAAACUGGAAAACUUGAGUGCAGAAGAGGAAAGUGGAAUUCCAUGUGUAGCGGUGAAUGCGCAGAGAUAUGGAGGAACACCAGUGGCGAAGGCGACUUUCUGGUCUGUAACUGACGCUGAUGUGC